CAGGCGGUUUGUUAAGUCAGAUGUGAAAUCCCCGCGCUUAACGUGGGAACUGCAUUUGAAACUGGCAAGCUAGAGUCUUGUAGAGGGGGGUAGAAUUCCAGGUGUAGCGGUGAAAUGCGUAGAGAUCUGGAGGAAUACCGGUGGCGAAGGCGGCCCCCUGGACAAAGACUGACGCUCAGGUGCGAAAGCGUGGGGAGCAAACAGGAUUAGAUACCCUGGUAGUCCACGCUGUAAACGAUGUCGACUUGGAGGUUGUGCCCUUGAGGCGUGGCUUCCGGAGCUAACGCGUUAAGUCGACCGCCUGGGGAGUACGGCCGCAAGGUUAAAACUCAAAUGAAUUGACGGGGGCCCGCACAAGCGGUGGAGCAUGUGGUUUAAUUCGAUGCAACGCGAAGAACCUUACCUACUCUUGACAUCCAGAGAAUUCGCUAGAGAUAG
This 438-nucleotide ribosomal RNA is filed under the name uncultured bacterium. Its description in RNAcentral is "bacterial SSU rRNA". It matches the Rfam family "Bacterial small subunit ribosomal RNA", at positions 572 to 1009 of the family's 1533-position model. The record is from RNAcentral.